GUCGUAACAAGGUUUCCGUAGGUGAACCUGCGGAAGGAUCAUUAUUGAAUAAACUUGGUUGUGGGUUGUUGCUGACUCUUAGGAGUAUGUGCACGCCCACGCCAAUUUUUAACCACCUGUGCACCUUGUGUAGAUUCAGGUAUUUGGAAAUUGCUGUUAACCAGCUGUUCUCGUAUCUGGGUCUAUGUUUUUAUAAACUCAAAUGAGUAUCAGAAUGUUGUAUUAUAGGCUUUUGUACCUUUAAAAACAAAAAACAACUUUCAACAACGGAUCUCUUGGCUCUCGCAUCGAUGAAGAACGCAGCGAAAUGCGAUAAGUAAUGUGAAUUGCAGAAUUCAGUGAAUCAUCGAAUCUUUGAACGCACCUUGCGCUCCUUGGUAUUCCGAGGAGCAUGCCUGUUUGAGUGUCAUGAAAUUCUCAACCUCAUUAUCUUUUGCGAACUAGUGAGGCUUGGAUAAUGGAAGUUGCUGGCUUCUCUGAGAAUCAGCUCUUCUUAAAUGUAUUAGCACAACCCUCUGCUGAUCAUCUUUGGUAUGAUAAUUAUCUAUACCAUGGACUCGGCGCUCCCCUAUGUGGGAAUGGUUACGCUUCUAACCCGUCUAUUCAGACAACUUAUGACAAUUUGACCUCCAAUCAGGUAGGAUUACCCGCUGAACUUAAGC
RNAcentral lists this ribosomal RNA (662 nucleotides) under Entoloma dichroum. Its description in RNAcentral is "eukaryotic LSU rRNA". The stretch from base 256 to 409 matches the Rfam family "5.8S ribosomal RNA". The record is from RNAcentral. Lineage: Eukaryota; Fungi; Basidiomycota; Agaricomycetes; Agaricales; Entolomataceae.